UUUGAAGUAGCUUAAAACCUAAAGCAUAAAACUGUAAAUUUUAUUAUACUAAUCAUCCAAA
This 61-nucleotide transfer RNA is filed under the name Buthus occitanus (common European scorpion). Its description in RNAcentral is "tRNA-Tyr". Lineage: Eukaryota; Metazoa; Arthropoda; Arachnida; Scorpiones; Buthidae. The record is from RNAcentral.